GAGUACGGCGGAACACGUGAAAUUCCGUCGGAAUCCGGGAGGACCAUCUCCCAAGGCUAAAUACUCCCUAGUGACCGAUAGUGAACCAGUACCGUGAGGGAAAGGUGAAAAGCACCCCGGAAGGGGAGUGAAACAGUUCCUGAAACCGUGUGCCUACAAGUAGUUAGAGCCCGUUAAUGGGUGAUAGCGUGCCUUUUGUAGAAUGAACCGGCGAGUUACGAUUUGUUGCAAGGUUAAGCGGAAAAAGCGGAGCCGUAGCGAAAGCGAGUCUGAAUAGGGCGCAUAAGUAACAGGUCGUAGACCCGAAACCAGGUGAUCUACCCAUGUCCAGGAUGAAGGUAAGGUAAUACUUACUGGAGGUCCGAACCCACGCACGUUGAAAAGUGCGGGGAUGAGGUGUGGGUAGCGGAGAAAUUCCAAUCGAACUUGGAGAUAGCUGGUUCUCUCCGAAAUAGCUUUAGGGCUAGCCUCGAGGUAAAGAGUCAUGGAGGUAGAGCACUGUUUGGACUAGGGGCCCUUCUCGGGUUACCGAAUUCAGAUAAACUCCGAAUGCCAUGUACUUAUACUCGGGAGUCAGACUGCGAGUGAUAAGAUCCGUAGUCGAAAGGGAAACAGCCCAGACCACCAGUUAAGGUCCCCAAAUAUAUGUUAAGUGGAAAAGGAUGUGGGGUUGCUUAGACAACCAGGAUGUUGGCUUAGAAGCAGCCACCAUUGAAAGAGUGCGUAAUAGCUCACUGGUCGAGUGACCCCGCGCCGAAAAUGUACCGGGGCUAAACAUAUUACCGAAACUGUGGAUGAACCUCUUUAGAGGUUCGUGGUAGGAGAGCGUUCUAAGGGCGGUGAAGUCAGACCGGAAGGACUGGUGGAGCGCUUAGAAGUGAGAAUGCCGGUAUGAGUAGCGAAAGAAGGGUGAGAAUCCCUUCCACCGAAUAUCUAAGGUUUCCUGAGGAAGGCUCGUCCGCUCAGGGUUAGUCGGGACCUAAGCCGAGGCCGAUAGGCGUAGGCGAUGGACAACAGGUAGAGAUUCCUGUACCAGUGCUAAUUGUUUAACCGAUGGGGUGACACAGAAGGAUAGGGAAUCGCACGAAUGGAAAUGUGCGUCCAAGCAGUGAGUGUGAG
Molecule: ribosomal RNA, 1119 nt
Filed under: Listeria monocytogenes
Lineage: Bacteria; Bacillati; Bacillota; Bacilli; Caryophanales; Listeriaceae
Description: partial 23S ribosomal RNA
Rfam family: Bacterial large subunit ribosomal RNA
Source: RNAcentral